CUACGGGAGGCAGCAGUCGGGAAUUUUGGGCAAUGGGCGAAAGCUUGACCCAGCAACGCCGCGUGAAGGAUGAAAUCCCUCGGGAUGUAAACUUCGCAAGAACGGGAAGAAUAAGUAGGGGACAAUACCCCCUAUGAUGACGGUACCGUUUGUAAGCUCCGGCUAACUCCGUGCCAGCAGCCGCGGUAAUACGGGGGGAGCAAGCGUUGUUCGGAUUUACUGGGCGUAAAGGGCGCGUAGGCGGCCAGCACAAGUCAGUUGUGAAAUCUCCGAGCUUAACUCGGAAAGGUCAACUGAUACUGUGCGGCUAGAGUGCAGAAGGGGCAACUGGAAUUCUUGGUGUAGCGGUGAAAUGCGUAGAUAUCAAGAGGAACACCUGCGGCGAAGGCGGGUUGCUGGGCUGACACUGACGCUGAGGCGCGAAAGCUAGGGGAGCGAACGGGAUUAGAUACCCCGGUAGUCCUAGCCUUAAACGAUGAAUGCUUGGUGUCUGGGGUUAUAAAGUCCCCGGGUGCCGUCGCUAACGCUUUAAGCAUUCCGCCUGGGGAGUACGGUCGCAAGACUGAAACUCAAAGGAAUUGACGGA
Molecule: ribosomal RNA, 586 nt
Filed under: uncultured bacterium
Lineage: Bacteria
Description: bacterial SSU rRNA
Rfam family: Bacterial small subunit ribosomal RNA
Source: RNAcentral